Molecule: transfer RNA, 65 nt
Filed under: Macaca assamensis (Assam macaque)
Lineage: Eukaryota; Metazoa; Chordata; Mammalia; Primates; Cercopithecidae
Description: tRNA-Lys
Source: RNAcentral
CGCUGUAUAGCUAUCCUAGCAUUAACCUUUUAAGUUAAAGACGGGGACACACCCCUACAGUGAAA